Long non-coding RNA from Oreochromis aureus, 1270 nucleotides. The record is from Ensembl. Lineage: Eukaryota; Metazoa; Chordata; Actinopteri; Cichliformes; Cichlidae.
UUUAUUUUCUUCAUACACAGCAGACUUGACUUCUUCUACGUGUAAUAUAACAUAUUCCAGAGCAAAAAAAGCACCGUGAAAAAAAAAUCAGAACUCGUUCCUAUUUAUCGUCCCAAUUGUAUUAAAACAAUUUCACCUAUUUUUGCUAUUUAGCUAUUUUUGUGCAGCCUCCCCCUCUUAGACUGAGGCUAAGUGAGAGACAGAGUUUUACUUUUUUAGAGGUACUUUUACAACAGGGAAACUGCUUUUCUCAUAAGAAAAUUACCGUGAAGUGAGGGAAACUGACACCCGCUGGAUGGGGAUAAAAAGCGGGAGGAGCAAGAAGGGGGAAACAGUGGAGACAGAUCCACGACACGCGCAAGUCUGCGGAUCGGGAGGGAAAUCAGUGAUUAUGUCCGCAAACGGAUCAAACAACGACGUGGAUCAGAGAGGCCGGGCCGGGUUGUCGGACGGGGAAACCUUCAGGUCUCACGCCGACCCCGAUGUAGACACCGGUGAAUCCACGCAAGUAGACCACGACGGUACAGGCCGGUGUGAGAAGAACAUCACAAACUCUGCCGACGCUCCGGAGCAGAGUAACGCCGUCCGCGAAAGAGCGCAGCAAGGGGGGGAAAUAAUAAUAAGACAACCAAGUUAUUGUUGUCGACGUACAUCAGAAAGAGAAGAAAUGCGGAAAGAUAAUAAAAGUGAAGAGGACAUCGUGACUAUACCGAGCCGGGUCACCGCUGUAGACAAUCCGUCAAAGGAGGAGCAAGAGAGAGUUGUAGCAUCCCGAGCUCUCCGUCCUAUCAUACGCAAUCCUCGUGGGCUGCAGGUCAUGAGACUCCAAGCAGGAAGAGGAGCCCGGCAACGAAGGAAUUUCCAUAAGAGGGAGGUCCUGCGAAUGCUCUCCAGCAUGUACUCCACAACCCUUUUGGCCUAUGUAUCAAUAGCAAACAGCAGGGAUUUGUAAUGUGUGGGGAAUAAAAAAUAAAAAAAUCAUGUCAAACCAGCACUGUAUUCCAGAUCUUUGUUGGACGCCUUUAGAAAACGCUCUCCAGGUCCUCCUUCAAAACCUUAAACGAUCGGCUUGUGUGGCAGCGGUACCCUGACCCGCUGGAGCCGAUAGAAAGUGCUCUUCAACUAUGGCCAGAACGAGCCUGACCGGCAUGAGUAAAUGAAGGGUGUCUUCAAAAGAAUACCGCGGUCAAGUGAGCCCUCACUUACGAAGUCACAGUCAAGCUAGCCGCCCCGCCAGCCGCACCUAAAAUGUGGUUGCACUACUCUUACG